Molecule: long non-coding RNA, 527 nt
Organism: Neogale vison (American mink)
Lineage: Eukaryota; Metazoa; Chordata; Mammalia; Carnivora; Mustelidae
Exons: 6
Source: RefSeq, a predicted model, not a curated record
CUCCUGCCGGCUCUGGGCCGCACCUGUCCCGGCCAGGCCACCGGGCGGACCGGCUCGGCCGGUGUCAUCCCCCCCUCGCCCCCCGCGAUGUCAAGAGGUGUGCCAGGGACGUGGGGGACCGUUGAUAUUCUAAUGGGGCUGAUGGACAGUGAACAAGACAGAGAGGAAACAGUUGUACUAAUUCACCAUGGGAGCUAAGGAGGAAAACGACCCUGAUCCUGCGGAACACUGUGGGGCUGACCGCCUUGGGCUCCUGCAUCUGCCCCCCACCCUGGGAGCUCCCCGGGAUCCCAAGAAGACGGUCGAGGGCGUCACGCAGAGUGUGGUCCACAGCUGAUGCCAGCAGAGCGGACUGCCUUCCCCCCAGUGCGCAGCGCCCCGAAGGAGGGCUGGACCAAGUGGCCUUCUUCUCCCAACCCGAAGAUACUCACAGCCACGGUUACGGUCCCUCAGGAGGUAAAACCACGCGAAGGGACGUGAUGGCCUGCCGUGGGGUUGAGCUGGAGGCCGCCACAGCGCGUUGGGCC